Molecule: long non-coding RNA, 6673 nt
Organism: Bactrocera tryoni
Lineage: Eukaryota; Metazoa; Arthropoda; Insecta; Diptera; Tephritidae
Exons: 3
Source: RefSeq, a predicted model, not a curated record
ACUUAGAAUCAUAUACUGCACCUGCCAAUUUCGUUCUUGGUCCUAAUUGUGCUGCAGCCGCCAAUCUCACUAAUUCAAAAAGCUUUCCGAUUGUGAGCAACCUGGAGAACAAUAGUGGUACUGAGCGGGCUGCUAAUCAGCGCAUUCCUGUGACACAAGCUGACAGUUCGAACGCAGACGUAUCAAAUGCAGCUCCUUCAAAUGGGAGUCGGGUGUAUACGGUAUCACCCCAACAAGUGCAUCUAUAAGAAAGUCAACUUAUAAGUCCUGUUCACUCCUCAAAUUAGUUUGGUUCACUCCGCCUUCGUCGUCGCCCCGAAUUGCUACAAGAGCAAGUCGAAAUCUUACGACAGAAAAAGGCUUUGUUAAUAGAACAGCACAGCUUUUUGGAUCGCAUAGAUGCAAUGGGUUUUGAUGACGACUUUGACGAAAGGCAAUAAUGCUUCUAUCCCAAAGGCUACAGCUGCCGCCACAAUUUGUGGCACCAUUUAAUACAACCGCUCCUCUUCUAAACGAUAUUACAAAUAGCGGGUAUUCACUACCUAACAGUAUUCCAACCGGAAUGUUAACGGGUCAACAAGGAGAAACUGAUAUUCAAACACCGGUUCUUCAAUCGUUAUUGAACCGAAUACAGUCACUUGAACAGCAGUUGCGACGGAAUUCAACACUCAAUCCAGAGACUGUUUUGCCGGAACCAGCUCAUACAACUUUUCCGACAGCUGGGCGCGUUAACAGCUUGUCUUUUGGUUCUUCAACUUGUCGCCGAUUGACUCGGGACCAAGUUGCUUCUCGUAACAGCCUUGUUAAAGAAUUACCCAAAUAUGAUGGUAAACCCAGCGAAUGGCCGUUGUAUUAUGCCGCUUACAAUCGAACUACAGACGAAGAGAAUCUGCUAAGACUGCGACAGGCAUUGGAAGGUCCAGCGCUGAAAGCUGUUAAAAAUCUGUUAAAAAUCUGUUAUUGCACUCCUCACGCGUCAGUCAAGUUAUGGCCUUCCUAGAUGAUGGCUCAUCUCUUUCAGUCAUCGACGAAGCUUUUAAAACAGCUGAAUGUAAGAGGAACACCACAACCACUCCGCCUACGUUGGACGGGCGACACACAUCGGUACGAGAACGAGUCUGUCGUAGCCGACCUGACUAUAUCGGCUGUAAAUGGGCAUAGUCAAUUUUCACUUAAAAGUGUUCGCUCUGUCAAGAAACUCCAGUUGCCUACCCAAUCGAUCGACGCUAACAAACUGCGAUUACAAUUCAAACAUUUGAAAGGAUUGUCAUUGCACUCCUAUUCAAACGCCACUCCACAACUGCUGGUAGGCUUAAAUAACGCGGCUCUUGGAUCUCCAAUAAAAUCCAUAUGUGGGGAUAAAAUAGGCCAAUUUCAGAAAAGUAUAAAUUAGGAUGGACCUUGAAAGGGUUCAUGCAUAAAGCCGACACCGAUCCUAUACACCACGUUUAUCACAUCUGUGAUUGAUCUCCUCAAGCUGAACUGCUUGAAAUCACCAAAGCGUACAUUUGCCUCGACAACUUAGGUGUGUCAACAAAACCUGUUGCUUUAAUGUCGAAGGGGGAUGAGGUUGCUUUUUAGCAACUACAAAAUUUCACCAUUCGCACUGGAAACCGUUUCGAGACCAGCUUAUUGUGGAAGCACUAGGACGUUGAAAUCGCCGAUAGCUUACCAAUGGCCUUAUUUCGGGCAAAUUGUCUGCGGAAAAGGUUGCAACGAGACCACGACCUGGCUGAAACUCUUCACACAAGGAUACGCGAUUAUAUUCAAACGGGGUAUAUCAGACGUUUAGGACCCCUCGACUCCGCCGUCAAAAAAUAUUGGUAUUUGCCGAUUUUAUUAGUAACCAUUCCCAAUAAACCAGGCAAAGUUAGACUAGUCUGGGACGCAGCUGCUAAAGUAAAUGGAGUGCCCCUAAACAGGAUGCUGCUGAAAGGUCCAGACCUAACAACUCCUCUACACUCGGUGCUCUUUAAGUUUCGACAAAAGAGAAUUGCUAUGACAGCCGAUAUAGCUGAAAUAUUUCACCAAGUUCGUGUACGUCAAGAAGACCAAAACUUCGUACGUUUUCUUUGGUAUGAGCGAAACGCUAAUGAGCCGACUAUAUUUGCAAUGACAAUGAUGACGUUUGGGGCCACAUGUUCACCAAGUACGCGCAAUAUGUAAAAAAUAAGAAAGCAAAAGAUUUUGAAGAGAAAUUUCUUCUUGUUUCAAAGUCCAUAACAGAAAAUCACUACGUCGACGAUAUGUUGGAACGUGUGGAUACCGGGUAUUAUUUGCCCUAAAUGAGGAUCCGAUCGAUGAGCUACCUCUCGAUCUUGACAGUGAACUGCCUACUGAAAAGGUUUCAGGCAUGUGGUGGAUUACGUCCAGUGACCAUUUCGCAUUUCGCGUGUCCGCUAACUAUAGAAAUUUUGACAUAUUUCUUCAUCAAAGGCGACCUACUAAGCGCGAGGUUUUGAGUUUGGUCAUGACUAUUUACGAUCCUCUUGGACUCACCAGUUUUUACGUAAUAUAUGCCAAGGUUAUCCUACAAGAGUUAUGGAGAGCUGGAUGCGACUGGCAUGUUCCAAUCCCUGAUGACCAACUUGCCAAGUGGCUAAGAUGGCUGAAACUAAUUCUGACAGUAGAGAGUCUAAGAAUUUAAAGAUGCUAUAUGGGAACUGUGUUUGGCGGAGUUCCACAAAUCGAAUUGCACACAUUCAUUGAUGCAAGUGAAACUAGCUACGCAGAAGUUUGUUACCUUCGACACUCGUAUGGCGAUACGGUUAGCUGUACAAUGAUGGCAAGCAAAACAAGGGUGGCGCUAUUGAAGCUAAUAUCCAUACCUUGUUUAGAAUUGAAAGCAUCACUUUUAGUGGCUCGCCUCGCCAAACAUGUUAUCGAAUCGCACUCUAUCCACAUUGACAAAUGCGUUUACUGGUCAGAAUCCCGAACGGUAUUAGCGUGGCUACGAUCCGAUCACCGGCGCUACAAACAAUUUGUAGCCUUCCGGGUUAGUGAAAUUUUAGAGCUGACCGACGUCAAGGAAUGGCAUUGGAAUCCAUCUGAGGAAAACUGAGCAACCAAAUGGAAUGGUGAUCCAGACUUUUCUAACGACAGUCGAUGGUUUAGAGGGCCAUCAUUCUUGUACCUCUCGCCUGACAAGUGGCUUAUGUCUGACGAAUUGCAAUGCAGUGCAACUGAAGAUCUGCGUCCACAGUUUACUGGCUUUCAUCACCGAACCUCAAAACAGCAUCAGGUAGUACCAGAACCACUGAGAUUUUCAGCUUGGAACCGUCUACUUCGUGCAACAGCUGUGACAACGUAUUGUGUUCGGAUCUGGCUAAGGAUUAUUCGAGAUAAUCAACCUAUUGGUAAUGGACCAACUACUGAAGAUUUUCGUAAAGCGGAAUGUUAUCUUUGGAGGAAGGCUCAACACGACAACUUCGGAGACUCUAUUGUAUCUCUAGAAGCCGGAAAGCUAGUUGACAAAUCCAGCAAUAUUCUGAAGCUAUCACCUUACCUGAAUCACGGCAUUUUGAGAAUAAAUGGUAGAGUUAAGAUAACAGGGCGACCAGAUCAAGUAUUAUUGCCCUCAAAUCAUUAUGUUACUUACCUUAUCAUUAACCACUUCCAUGUAAAGUAUCAUCAUGGAAAUUUGGAAACAGCGGUGAAUAAGGCAAUUCUAUUGUAUCAUAAAACUACGAACAGUGGCUAAUAUGAUUCGACGUAUUUGUCAGCAUUGUAAAAACAGAACAUCUCAACCUCGGCUCGGAUUAUGAUAGCCUCUCUGCCCGCAUUCCGGAACUCAGCAUUUAGUCGACCGUUCUCCUACGUAGGCGUUGACUAUUUUGGUCCACUUCUGGUUACGGUUAAAAGAAGUACCGAAAAGAGAUACGGAGUGUUAUUUACCUGCUUAACAACCUGAGCAGUGCAUCUUGAAAUCGCAUACUCGCUCUCGACAGACCCCUACAUUCUAGCUGUACGUAAUUUUAUGGCUCGCCGAGGUAGUCCGGUAGAAAUAUGGAGUGAUAAUGGUACGAACUUCAAAGGUGCUGAGAAGGAGUUGAAGUUAGCGUUUCAUCUGAUAGAUAAAAAUCAGAUUACAAGAACCUUUACUUCUGCUGCAUCAAACUGGCGUUUUAUGCCACCCGCUUCGCCACAUAUGGGCGGAGAGUGGGAACGAUUAGUUCGGUCAGUAAAGCAGGUGCUUGCACAAAUUUUGACAAAUAGCCGCCCUAAUGAUGAACUCCUUCGUGCAGUCUUAAUGGAAGCGGAAAUGAUGGUUAACUCUCGGUCAUUAACUUAUAUUCCCAUCGGCGACGAAGAGAAAGAGCACUCACUCCCAACCACUUCUUGUUAGGUAGCUCCAGUGGAGUUAAGCCAAUCGCGGAACCAGUUACUGAGAACAUCUUAUUGCGGCGUAACUGGCAAACAUCGCAGCAACUAGCAAGCGCCUUCUAGAGACGUUGGAUAGUGGAGUACUUGCCCACCAUAACCAAGCGAAGCAAAUGGUUUACAGAUGUAAGGACAAUCGAAGUCGGUGAUAUAGCGUACAAAGUGGAUUCUAGUAACCCACGGAACUGCUGGCCUAAAAGCAAAGUGAUCCAAGUACGAAAGAGUGAUGAAAGACUCUGAAGACUGCCUGUGGCAUCUUUGAGAGACCUGCGGCCAAAAUAACCGUUCUAGAUGUAAUUAAUUCGGUACACCCUGAUCAGCAGGAUAUACCGGGGAGGAGUGUUACGACCGAUCUCACGUAAUCCUCGUAUGUCCUACUUGCUUACGUAUGAACUGACGUGGCGCGUUGUGGUUGGUCUAAUAAGCAAAGCGGGAGCAAUUAUUUUAAGUCCUACUUGCUUACGCAUGAACUGACGUGGCACGUUCUAAUUGGUCCAAUUGGGAAACGGGAGCAAUUAGUCUAUUUAGCAAAGUAGGCAAUGGGAAAAACGAUCAUAUCGUCGAUAACGUUCAGAGGGUGCAGUUGGGACUAAAUUUUUUAAUUAACCUUUGAUUUAACCUUUUAUUUAACAUUUGAAUUAAUCCUUGAAUAUUAAAUUAAAUAUUAAAUAUUAUUUCAGUUAAUUGCAAAAAAUGUCUCGCAUUUUUAUUAACAAGUAUAAUAACCAAUCAAAAGUAAUAUACAAACCAUAUUUACGUAAUCAAAGCAAAACCAUUUAUCACAACAGUAAUUCUAUAAAUUUUACUAUUAACAAUAAUUAUUUAGUACGUUUUGAAAAUUGUAAUGUCUAAAUUGUUAAUAUGUCUAUAGACAUCGUAGGCCUCUGACAAUGAAAUGAUUGCCAAACCCAGUUAAGGUAAGGAGGAAAUAGAUUUUCAAAACAUUAAAUAUAUUCAGGAAAUAACAAAAUUCAGAUAUAAAGCAAAACAAAAAUGAUAAGGUUAUACUAUAUAAGAAUAAAAACAUUCUACCUUUAUAAUUGUAUAAAACUUUGGAGUCUUAUUUUAAAAAUAGACAAUUUAUGGUAAAAGUGGGAGAAAAAUAAAAACUCUAAAUUUCACCUAGACAACAAAGUGCUUUUAUAUAAUGCGGUCUACAGCUUAGUAUUCAGCUCUAAAGAAAUGUAAAAACUAAAACUAAAAAACGCUUAAGAAAUGGUCAAUUUCCUAGGGUAAAAUUUUUUCAGCAUUAUGCAGCUCUGAAGAAAUCUAGUUCUAAUUUUUCAUACAUUUUUACACUAAAAUGCGAAUAUGGCGAUGCUGGUUUUGCGAAGAAACAUGAAAUCAACAAUUGUUUCUCGAAGCAAAUUCAAAGUAAUCACUAAAUUCAUCCUACAAUUAGUUGCGCAUUUGACGCAUGUUAAUGCAAAUUAGUAAUGCUCAAAAAUUUCAUGCAUUUAACGGGAUUUACCAAAUUUUAAUUGGCAACAUUGGUUGAAAAUGGCAGAGUUUUGCUAUUGGUGAUUGAUAGAAAGAUGAUAAAAACGUAAACAACAGAUUUAAGGAAAGCGUUAGAGGUAAGCUGUUUUUAUAUUGCUAAUUAUAGAUAUUAUGUGCCAGUAUGUUUCCAAAAACUAAUUUCAAUAUUUUUAGAUAGAAGGAAACAAACAACGAACAAUGUGGACACACAGUGACGAAAAUAUUUUAAUUGAUUUGUGGUGUGAACGAGUCACAGACUUGCGACGUGCUAAACGAAAUUUGCAAAUCUAUGCCGACAUAUCUGUGCAAAUGGCACACAAAUUUAUUCAAGAAGAAGUUCAUGUAAAAAUAAGGAAUCUCACACAAAAAUAUAGAGAGGAAAAGGAAAAAGUUGGGCCCUCGGGAGGCAGUCCAUCGGGAUGGGCGGUACAUUGAAUUAACGGACUGACGGCAGCCAAUAUUUCUGAAAUCUACGAAUCAUUUACUGUGCCAUCUAUACCUAUAGGAUCACCAGAAUCAAUGCCAACUGAACCUAUAGCAUCAUCAGAACCAAUGCCACCUGAACCGGUGUGUACGCCAGUAAUGACAUUGACGAACUCGCCAUCAGUCUCGCCAUUGGGUAGCUCAACAUCAGCAGCGAAAUUACAUGGGCGAAUAAAGCUGCAAAAGAACAAACCAAAUUGCUGAAGACAGUGGUGGAGGACCGGAAAAUAUUGACUGAGGAGUCUUUAAUGUAAUCGAACAACAAAGUAGUAAUACAAAAGAGUUAAUAGGAAUUAUGAAAAAUAAUAAAAAAAAAUUAAAUAUACUUAUA